UACAGAGGGGGCAAGCGUUGUUCGGAAUUACUGGGCGCAAAGGGCUCGUAGGCGGCCAACUAAGUCGGACGUGAAAUCCCUCAGCUUAACUGGGGAACUGCGUCCGAUACUGGAUGGCUUGGAUUUGGGAGAGGGAUGCGGAAUUCCAGGUGUAGCGGUGAAAUGCGUAGAUAUCUGGAGGAACACCGGUGGCGAAGGCGGCAUCCUGGACCAACAUUGACGCUGAGGAGCGAAAGCUAGGGGAGCAAACGGG
Molecule: ribosomal RNA, 253 nt
Filed under: uncultured bacterium
Lineage: Bacteria
Description: partial 16S ribosomal RNA
Rfam family: Bacterial small subunit ribosomal RNA
Source: RNAcentral